AGCGAACGCUGGCGGCAGGCUUAACACAUGCAAGUCGAACGGGCAUCUUCGGAUGUCAGUGGCAGACGGGUGGGUAACACGUGGGAACGUACCCUUCGGUUCGGAAUAACUCAGGGAAACUUGAGCUAAUACCGGAUACGCCCUUCUGGGGAAAGGUUUACUGCCGAAGGAUCGGCCCGCGUCUGAUUAGCUUGUUGGUGGGGUAACGGCCUACCAAGGCGACGAUCAGUAGCUGGUCUGAGAGGAUGAUCAGCCACACUGGGACUGAGACACGGCCCAGACUCCUACGGGAGGCAGCAGUGGGGAAUAUUGGACAAUGGGCGCAAGCCUGAUCCAGCCAUGCCGCGUGAGUGAUGAAGGCCUUAGGGUUGUAAAGCUCUUUUGUCCGGGACGAUAAUGACGGUACCGGAAGAAUAAGCCCCGGCUAACUUCGUG
RNAcentral lists this ribosomal RNA (435 nucleotides) under uncultured bacterium. RNAcentral describes it as "partial 16S ribosomal RNA". It matches the Rfam family "Bacterial small subunit ribosomal RNA", at positions 29 to 507 of the family's 1533-position model. The record is from RNAcentral.